UUAGCCGUGUUUGCACUAUCGGGCUUCAAGCGGGCGUGCCAGUGCCUGCCGAGGCCUGUCGCGUUUGCAUUGUCACUUCCGGGGCAUGAUCGUGCUUCACUGGUGCUUCGUUGGUGCUUAAGGCCCCGCUUUUCUGGCCCGCCGAAAUCGUUGGGCCAAAGCGGGCUUCUCGGGGCUAUGGGAGUGGUAAAGGUCUAAGGCGGAGUUUAUCUGAGUCUCUGGCAAGAUGCGCAUCCAUCUGUCUGCAGAUUUAAAACUUUAAAUAUAACCGGGAUCACCAGUAAUUGACUGUUUCACGGAAGAUGCCUGCUAUGUUUGUACUUCGGACUGAAGAAAAUGAUCUGCAUAUGUAAAAAAAAAAAAAACACGCGUUACAACGCCGAACUCGCCAUGCUAAGGAUCCGGCGCACACCGCUACCGGUUCGGGAGAAGUUUAUAAAGUUUCGGGCACAGAACAAAGUGUUUAAAGUGCAACAGUGCUGAGAAAUUAAAGAUGUGUGUUGAAUCAUCAUUUCAUCGUCCAUCACUCCAUGUAUUAAAGCGAUCGAGUCACCAUGGUAUCUACAGUCGAAAAAUGCCAACGUAAAGCUUUCAGUUUGUCAUCCAGGAGAUUUUAUUUUGUAUAUGAGAGAUGACACAGCAACAAAUGCAAGAGUAGGUGAUGAAACGAAGAUGAUGAUGAUGAUGAUGAGACGACAGGAGCCAUGGAUGUUGAAAUCAGUCCGGAGGAGAUGUCUUUAAAUACACUGUUUGUGCACUGAUAUAAACUUCAUAUGUAAAUAAAGUACCGCGUUAUUACUACG
This is a non-coding RNA of Misgurnus anguillicaudatus (oriental weatherfish), 803 nucleotides long. The record is from RefSeq and is a predicted model, not a curated record. Lineage: Eukaryota; Metazoa; Chordata; Actinopteri; Cypriniformes; Cobitidae.